RNAcentral lists this ribosomal RNA (505 nucleotides) under Cymatodera linsleyi. Its description in RNAcentral is "partial 16S ribosomal RNA". The stretch from base 382 to 505 matches the Rfam family "Bacterial large subunit ribosomal RNA", at positions 2473 to 2597 of the family's 2925-position model. Lineage: Eukaryota; Metazoa; Arthropoda; Insecta; Coleoptera; Cleridae. The record is from RNAcentral.
CCUUUAGAUAAUAAUAUCAAGUCUAAUCUGCCCGCUGGGAAUUGAAUGGCCGCGGUAUUUUGACCGUGCGAAGGUAGCAUAAUCCUUAGUUUUUUAAUUGAAAACUGGAAUGAAUGAUUGAAUGAGAAAAUAACUGUCUCAAGUUAAUUUUUUUAAAAAUUUAUUUUUAAGUUAAAAAGCUUAAAUAUUUUUAAAAGCCAAGAAGACCCUAUACAGUUUUAUAUUUAAUUUAGAUUAUAUUAAAUUGUUUUUAUUAUUAUAAUUUGUUUUAAUUAUUUUGUUGGGGUGACAAAAAAAUUUAAAAAACUUUUUUUUAAUUUUUAUACUAAUAAGUAAUUUAUUGAUCCAAUAUUUUUGAUUAUAAGAUUAAAUUACCUUAGGGAUAACAGCGUAAUUUUUUUUGAGAGUUCAUAUCAAAAAAAAAGGUUGCGACCUCAAUUUUGGAUAAAAAUUAAGUUUUGGUGUAGAAGCUAAAAUUUUAGGUCUGUUCGACCUUUAAAACUUU